Molecule: long non-coding RNA, 297 nt
Filed under: Elaeis guineensis (African oil palm)
Lineage: Eukaryota; Viridiplantae; Streptophyta; Magnoliopsida; Arecales; Arecaceae
Description: long non-coding RNA (EGUI_LNC043124)
Source: RNAcentral
AACAAGGGUACUGCGAAGACACACCCCCUUCCUCUAGCGCCAAUCCUGUUGGUGCAAAAAUCCGCCGGCUUCAGAGAAGCUGGAGUCGAGGGAGUCGCGGUCACUGUCGGGACCGGCAAGGGAAGUCUAAAUCGGAGUUGGGGGUGCUCCGGCAAGACCCUCUGACGCUCAAGUCAGUUCUCUGCCUCAACAAGAAUGGAGUGCUCGAACGGAAAUUUCAGCAGAGUUUUGAGAUAGAAAUUAGAGCUUAGAGAAUAAUGUAUCUGGGAUCCCUUUUUUAUAGACGGAGGGUGCAAU